This 528-nucleotide ribosomal RNA is filed under the name uncultured Alphaproteobacteria bacterium. Its description in RNAcentral is "bacterial SSU rRNA". It matches the Rfam family "Bacterial small subunit ribosomal RNA", at positions 350 to 896 of the family's 1533-position model. The record is from RNAcentral. Lineage: Bacteria; Pseudomonadati; Pseudomonadota; Alphaproteobacteria.
AGCAGUGGGGAAUCUUAGACAAUGGGCGCAAGCCUGAUCUAGCCAUGCCGCGUGAGUGGUGAAGGCCUUAGGGUCGUAAAGCUCUUUCGCCUGUGAAGAUAAUGACUGUAGCAGGUAAAGAAACCCCGGCUAACUCCGUGCCAGCAGCCGCGGUAAUACGGAGGGGGUUAGCGUUGUUCGGAAUUACUGGGCGUAAAGCGCGCGUAGGCGGACAUUUAAGUCAGAGGUGAAAUCCCAGGGCUCAACCCUGGAACUGCCUUUGAUACUGGGUGUCUUGAGUUCGAGAGAGGUGAGUGGAAUUCCGAGUGUAGAGGUGAAAUUCGUAGAUAUUCGGAGGAACACCAGUGGCGAAGGCGGCUCACUGGCUCGAUACUGACGCUGAGGUGCGAAAGUGUGGGGAGCAAACAGGAUUAGAUACCCUGGUAGUCCACACCGUAAACGAUGAAUGCCAGUCGUCGGGUAGUAUACUAUUCGGUGACACACCUAACGGAUUAAGCAUUCCGCCUGAGGAGUACGGUCGCAAGAUUA